RNAcentral lists this ribosomal RNA (425 nucleotides) under uncultured bacterium. Its description in RNAcentral is "bacterial SSU rRNA". It matches the Rfam family "Bacterial small subunit ribosomal RNA", at positions 30 to 458 of the family's 1533-position model. The record is from RNAcentral.
AGCGAACGCUGGCGGAAUGCUUUACACAUGCAAGUCGAGCGGCAGCACGGGGGCAACCCUGGUGGCGAGCGGCGAACGGGUGAGUAACACAUCGGAACGUACCCUGUCGUGGGGGAUAACGAGUCGAAAGAUUCGCUAAUACCGCAUACGACCCGAGGGUGAAAGCGGGGGAUCGCAAGACCUCGCGCGACUGGAGCGGCCGAUGGCGGAUUAGCUAGUUGGUGGGGUAAAGGCCACCAAGGCGACGAUCCGUAGCGGGUCUGAGAGGACGGCCCGCCACACUGGGACUGAGACACGGCCCAGACUCCUACGGGAGGCAGCAGUGGGGAAUUUUGGACAAUGGGGGCAACCCUGAUCCAGCCAUGCCGCGUGAGUGAAGAAGGCCUCGGGUUGUAAGCUCUUUGUCGGAGAAGUAGCUGCUACAG